RNAcentral lists this ribosomal RNA (474 nucleotides) under Trimeresurus popeiorum (Pope's bamboo pit viper). RNAcentral's name for it is "partial 16S large subunit ribosomal RNA". It matches the Rfam family "Bacterial large subunit ribosomal RNA", at positions 1914 to 2609 of the family's 2925-position model. Lineage: Eukaryota; Metazoa; Chordata; Lepidosauria; Squamata; Viperidae. The record is from RNAcentral.
GAAUAAUUAAACGGCCGCGGUAUCCUAACCGUGCAAAGGUAGCAUAAUCAUUUGUCUAUUAAUUGUAGACCUGUAUGAAAGGCUAAAUGAGAAUCCAACUGUCUCUUACAACAAAUCAAUAAAACUGAUCUCCUAGUACAAAAGCUAGAAUACUAACAUAAGACCAGAAGACCCUGUGAAGCUUUAACAAACCCAUUAAACCAAAUAAUGCUUACUUUCGGUUGGGGCGACCUUGGAAUAAAAAAGAACUUCCAACAUAUGACUUCCUCAUAAAACAUAGGCGACAAGCCAAUAUUAGACCCAGCACAGCUGAUAAUUGAAAUAAGUUACUCCAGGGAUAACAGCGCUAUCUUCUUUAAGAGCCCAUAUCAAAAAGAAGGGUUACGACCUCGAUGUUGGAUCAGGACAUCCCAGUAAUGCAACCGUUACUAAAGGGUCGUUUGUUCAACGAUUAACAGUCCUACGUGAUCUGAG